Molecule: ribosomal RNA, 149 nt
Filed under: uncultured bacterium
Lineage: Bacteria
Description: partial 16S ribosomal RNA
Rfam family: Bacterial small subunit ribosomal RNA
Source: RNAcentral
GGGGAAUAUUGGACAAUGGGGGCAAGCCUGAUCCAGCAAUACCGCGUGUGUGAAGAAGGCCUGACGGGUUGUAAAGCACUUUCANUUGUGANGAAAAGUAGUNGGUUAAUAAUCUGCANGAUCCUGACGUANCUUAGAAGAAGCACCGG